This 488-nucleotide ribosomal RNA is filed under the name uncultured bacterium. Its description in RNAcentral is "bacterial SSU rRNA". It matches the Rfam family "Archaeal small subunit ribosomal RNA", at positions 723 to 1208 of the family's 1478-position model. The record is from RNAcentral.
AGUGAAUAGAUACCCAGGUAGUCCUAGCCGUAAACGAUACUCGCUAGGUGUCGGCCACGGUGCGACCGUUGUCGGUGCCGUAGGGAAAGCCGUGAAGCGAGCCACCUGGGGAAGUACGGCCGCAAGGCUGAAACUUAAAGGAAUUGGCGGGGGAGCACCACAACGGGUGGAGCUUGCGGUUUAAAUUGGAUUCAACGCCGGAAAUCUUACCGGGACCGACAGCAACAUGAAGGCCAGGCUGAAGACUUUGCCGGAUUAGCUGAGAGGUGGUGCAUGGCCGUCGUCAGUUCGUACUGUGAAGCAUCCUGUUAAGUCAGGCAACGAGCGAGACCCACGCCCACAGUUGCCAGCGUACUCUCCGGAGUGACGGGUACACUGUGGGGACCGCCGCUGCUAAAGCGGAGGAAGGAAUGGGCAACGGUAGGUCAGUAUGCCCCGAAUAUCCCGGGCUACACGCGAGCUACAAUGGUUGGUACAAUGGGUAUCUA